This 900-nucleotide long non-coding RNA is filed under the name Salvator merianae (Argentine black and white tegu). RNAcentral describes it as "lncRNA (ENSSMRG00000007914.1)". Lineage: Eukaryota; Metazoa; Chordata; Lepidosauria; Squamata; Teiidae. The record is from RNAcentral.
AAUCCCCACUCGUGACUGCAACUAUGCCUAUCAGUAAGGACCUCAGAAAGAAACACCUUGAAAGCGCUUUCUUGUGUGCUCGAAAUGCCGUGCAAUUUACUACAAAACCCAGAGGAAUUUUUCUCCAGGGAAAAACCCGCUUGCAGCAACAUUCUUUCAUUUCNUAAUGGAGGGGAGNGAUUUGUCCAGCCCUGGAUGGUGCCAUUUCCUGUUUAAUUCAAAAGGAAAGUGUGAUUGUUCCNCUAAAGAACGCACUGGANGACUUCACUGGGAGAACCUGGUGGAUAUCUAAAAUGGCAAUGAUGAAAGNGGGUCUCCUAUUGCUACUAGCUGUAUUUCUUCACAUUUUAGAAGGGUUUGUUUCAAUAGAGAGGAUUUCUGAAAAGAUGGUUUCGAUCUACGAUGAAGAUCAUGAGAAUUAUUCCAUUUACUACAACGACAGUGAAGAUUUCUUCUNUUCCUAUUAUUAUUAUGACGAUAACUUCACCUAUUCCGUUGAAAAUGGCACAGUGGUUUAUCCUCUGACUGCAACUCCAUCACAAAAAGUAAGCCACACUCAAGAGAAGCUGUGUCUNUGUACAGAUUAGAUGUCCCUAGUAUGAAGUAAAGCUACGAUGGAAAACAAAGAUACAGAAAAUGCAUAAAUCUGUAAAUUGUGGAGUUUUCACAAAGAACCACUGCAUCUUGAUAGCAGACAUCAAAGUGACAAUUAAAUAGAAACAUGAACAUAUGCAUAUAUACCACCUUUGAACUUAGAGAAAAAGAUAUCAUCCUUUUCUUUGAUUUCCUAAUUUUUCAGUGACAAUGACAGAUAUAUUUUAUGCCGUGAACCUACUANAGAGAGAGAGAGUUUUCACAGCUGAGCUGGCUGCUCACUUAUCAGUCACAGUGCUAAUUUCC